CCCUGACCCCAUGCCGAACUCAGAAGUGAAACGCCGUAGCGCCGAUGGUAGUGUGGGGUCUCCCCAUGUGAGAGUAGGGAACUGCCAGGC
This 90-nucleotide ribosomal RNA is filed under the name Klebsiella quasipneumoniae. Lineage: Bacteria; Pseudomonadati; Pseudomonadota; Gammaproteobacteria; Enterobacterales; Enterobacteriaceae. The record is from RNAcentral.